UCCCUGGUGGUCCAGUAGUUUGGUUAGGACUCGGCACUCUGACUACUGGGGCCUGGGUUCAAUCCCCGGCCGGGGAA
Non-coding RNA from Hippopotamus amphibius kiboko, 77 nucleotides. NCBI's taxonomy places the organism in Eukaryota, Metazoa, Chordata, Mammalia, Artiodactyla, Hippopotamidae. The record is from the annotation of a RefSeq genome assembly.